CACUAAUUCAAAUUUCAAAUUUCCCCAUCAUCCUUUCUCCACAAGGACCCCACUUUUCCCUAAUCAGCAUUAAUUUUUAUCUCUCUCUUUACUCAUCCAAUUUAUUUUUUCCUUUCCCCAAUCUCUAUCUCUCACGUGGGUCCCACUCCCACAAUUAGAUAUUAUUUUCUUUUCUUUCUCUCCCUUCAUUCACUCCCUCAACCGCUCACUCUCUCUCACCCUUCUCAUUCACGUUUCUUUUCUCUUCUCCCACAGCACCUCCUUCUUCUUCAGUUUAUUCCUCCUGCAACAAUACCACCAUCAUAGAGCCUUUCCUGCACUCAACACCACCACCACGUCCCAAAACCGCGAGCACCACCACCUCCAUGCCUCCUUCACGCAACAACUACCACUGUCCCUGUUCUGUUUUUCUUCUCCAUGAGGGUCACCACCAAAACCCUAGCCGCCACCUUCAAAGCCCGAUCUCCGGCGAACCAUUAAUUUUUUGGAGAAACUGACAUCACCACUGAACUCUCCUCAUCAUCCGCAACAAAACCCCUCCAUCGAUUCGAUGAUCGGCCCCCGUGACUCCGGCGACCGCCGCCGCCGCCGUCUUCUCCGGCGAGUUCUAUUCUGAGAAAGGAGGCCAAUUUCUUGAAGCUUUCGACCUCGUCUUUCCAAAUCCAAAGUCAGAUCAUUGUUUAGAGUUUCAAUGGCUACUGGAGGAAAGGGAGAGCACGACCAGACCAGAGGAAGAGAAGCUCAGUCCCAUGACCAUGAGACUUGAGGUAGAAGGAGAAAGACAUGAACUUUGUGCUUAAAAGUUUUGUAUCAAUAGGGUCCCUUAUGUGUCUGAUGUGUGUGGUGUGAGUUAGUGUUUUGGUUGUCCAAUUGCAAAGGGUAUGAGAAUUUCAAUUGUAUUAGUUCUUUAGUCCUUACUGUAUUAUACAUGAUAGAUUUUAUGAGGAGAGGAAAAUAGGAUUUUAGCUUAUCCAGGUGUUAACUAAUUAAGUUGGAAAAUGGAAAAUUUGGCAUUUAACUUUUGAAAGAGAACUUCUUAUAAUUCGUUUUGUUUUGCUUAGACAGUUUUGGUAUAGCACUUGAAAAUACAUGUCUUCAUGUACCUUUGAUGAUUGUAUCAAAAAUACUUUAAAAUAAGAAUAGUUCUUUGCAA
Lotus japonicus is the source of this 1153-nucleotide long non-coding RNA. RefSeq lists it as uncharacterized. Lineage: Eukaryota; Viridiplantae; Streptophyta; Magnoliopsida; Fabales; Fabaceae. The record is from RefSeq and is a predicted model, not a curated record. The transcript is spliced from 2 exons.